UUCAUGGACACACUUACAAAGGGAGAAUCUAUGAAAUAAAGAUGAGGAGAGAAAGGUUAUAGAAAAUGUCUGCUACCAUGCCCCCAUUAUCUCUAUCCAUACCAUAAAAAUAAUUUCA
Long non-coding RNA from Populus euphratica (Euphrates poplar), 118 nucleotides. RefSeq lists it as uncharacterized. The record is from RefSeq and is a predicted model, not a curated record. Lineage: Eukaryota; Viridiplantae; Streptophyta; Magnoliopsida; Malpighiales; Salicaceae. The transcript is spliced from 2 exons.